Molecule: long non-coding RNA, 1452 nt
Organism: Acanthochromis polyacanthus (spiny chromis)
Lineage: Eukaryota; Metazoa; Chordata; Actinopteri; Pomacentridae
Exons: 5
Source: RefSeq, a predicted model, not a curated record
UUAUAUUUUUACAGAAAGCUUGCUAGUCUUUGUUCAUAAAGUUUUUCUACAAUUUUUGAGAACUGAGGUAAAAGGGAUAUUGGCCUAUACACUCAAAAAAAUCAACAAGGGCAGUUGUUUGAUUAAUAAAGUAGAAAUAUGUUUAAAUGAAAUGAAUUAAUCAUGUUUAUGUUUACUAAAUGAUUUGUUCUUGUUGGUUGUACAUGGUUUCAAAGAAAUUCAAACCAAUUAAAUUGAUUCAUGUGAGUCCAACAAGAAUGAGAUUAAUCAAAGCAAUAUGACUCCAGUGGUCAGCUACUGCGCAUGCUCCAUGCCCCAAGGUCUCCUGGGAAAUAACUGAAGAAUCGUCAGGUCCUUUCCCGCUCAGUCCUUUGUUAUCUUCGCUCUUACAAACAUUGAGUGCAAGUCAAUCUGUGUCUCUGUAUGAUCAUUUGUAUGCACCCUGUUUUUUAAAUGUGAGGUGUAUGUGGCAGUGCAGACAUUGUGACACAAGAGAGAGAACUAGGUACAAAUUACUUAAACAUUAUAAACUAUACCAUCAUUGUGGAAGAGGCCAACAUUAUCUGUGCAUAAAUGUUAGUUGUCCAUGCUCAUUCAAGACUUGGACUGGACUCAAAGCCCAUGUCUAUAAAUGUCAUCCAUAUCAGCUUGUAUCAACAGCUUCCAGUUCAGUAACUUUUAAAUGUGAGUUGUGUGAUCGCAGUGACAUCUCAACAGAAAGAGACUUUUUUGUUCAUAUUGGAACACAUCUGCGCAAUAUAGAAACAGUUAACUGUGUAUUUAAUGGUUGCUCUUUCAGGACAAAUGUCCAUAGUACAUUUUACACACACAAAAAGAGGAAGCAUCAUCCACACAAAAAUGGCCAACCUCCGAAGCAAACUAAGGGGGCUGGGAUGUGCCGAGGUAAUGCUUAAUUCACUGAAGAGCAAGAACCAAGAUAAAUCUCUGGCAGCAUUGAAUGUCAAAAAGCCAAGAAGGGCAGAAGUCAAUUACUGUCCAGAACACCCAAAAGGAGAAACCACCAAGAGUCUUGAAGAAGAGAGAAUUGCACUGCUUUCUGAGUACAUGAAAAAAGACAAUUGGCAUACAGUGACAGCAAAAAUGGACAAGACUUUCUCAUACAGGAGGCAAGAAGUUCUGCAAGGACAACCCUUCGUUGCAGACUUCAAAAGCAGAUGGCCAGCUCUUUUCAAUGAGAAAGAGAUCGAUAAUGAAUUCAAGCGCAUAUCAACUGUGCCUCUGCUUUCGACAUUCUUCGCUGCACUUGACCAGUACUCUCCCCGUCUGAUAGAGAUCUUUAGACAUAAAGGUGGAGCAGGUGGAAGGAAGAUCCAACAUGUCAUGAUGGACAUUUCCAAGGAUGACACAAUACACACUAGACGAACAUGCGUCCUCAAGUCCUUGUGCAUCUACCUGAAUGAAGACCACGAAAAACUUGUGAAGGAAUACAAG